GCUUCUUGGCCUUUUGGCUAAGGUCAAGUGUA
Molecule: small nuclear RNA, 32 nt
Filed under: Cervus elaphus hippelaphus
Lineage: Eukaryota; Metazoa; Chordata; Mammalia; Artiodactyla; Cervidae
Source: RNAcentral